This 301-nucleotide ribosomal RNA is filed under the name uncultured bacterium. RNAcentral describes it as "partial 16S ribosomal RNA". It matches the Rfam family "Bacterial small subunit ribosomal RNA", at positions 509 to 807 of the family's 1533-position model. The record is from RNAcentral.
CAGUCGCCGCGGUAAUACGGAGGGUGCAAGCGUUAAUCGGAAUUACUGGGCGUAAAGCGCACGCAGGCGGUCUGACAAGUCAGAUGUGAAAUCCCCGGGCUUAACCUGGGAACUGCAUUUGAAACUGUCAGGCUGGAGUCUUGUAGAGGGGGGUGGAAUUCCAGGUGUAGCGGUGAAAUGCGUAGAGAUCGGGAGGAAUACCGGUGGCGAAGGCGGCCCCCUGGACAAAGACUGACGCUCAGGUGCGAAAGCGUGGGGAGCAAACAGGAUUAGAUACCCCGGUAGUCCCUGUCUCUUAUAC